GAGAGAGAGUUUGCAUGUGUGUGUGUGCGGAGGGGAAAGAAGUGGGGGAGGUCAGCAAUGGAGGAUGGGGAGUGGUAAUCAGAAACUGGUCAGAGUGUGUGUGUGUGUGCUUGGCUACAUUCUAACAUAACAGAGCUGACAAAAGAUGACUCCUAGGAAUCUAUUCAUGUCUAAACUGCUAAACUGAAUAUAAUAAUACUAACAAUUAUUAUUAUCAUUAUUAUUAUUAUUAUGAUGAUAACAAUAAUAACAACAACAAAUUAUUGAAAAAAAAUUCCAUUAGCUUUUCACAUCUGUCCAAAUGAAAGCUGUUUAGCAUUUUCAUUGUCUCUCUCUCUCACCACACACAACUUAGUUCACACAUUGUUUAAUAUAUAUGUAGGUGUUUUUAUGUCCAUACACACACACACACACACACACACAUCAUUUCAUUUAUAAUCUUUUACUGGUUUCAUUCAUUGGACCGUGACCAUGCUGGGGCACUUCUUACCAAUUGUUCCAGCCGGUUAUACCAACCAGCCCCCGGUACUUACCUCAGCCUGGUACUCAAUAUUAUUGAUCUAUAGUUGUCGAGCAGCUAAGUCACACACCUACACACCUACACACACACAAUGGGCUUAUGCACUGUUUUUUUCUCUACUGAUAGAAGAGACCGGAUCAGGUACAACGGAAUGUGCUCAAAGCCAGGGCCUCACCGUUGUGAAGCAACCUUGCUGCCACACAGCUAUGUCUGCACACACCUUGAACCCAAUGUGCGAAGAAGGAAAGAAGUCGAGUUUUCCUUUGAGACAAUUCUUUAAUACUGACAACAAAAAAGUGAGAAAGAGAGACAAACACACACACGCACACACACACACGCACACACCAGUGUAGCAGUUUCAGUUCCCGAUCUCGCAUAGUGGUAUACAGGUACAAGAAAGAAAGAAAGAAAGAAAAGAGAACAUGAAUCCAGGAAGAGAAAUCAAUAUUAACUUCCAACAAAGACAGAAACCAGAAUUUUAGAGGGCAGAGAGAAGAGACUGAAAGACAUGCUGGCAGUUGUCAAUGUGGCAGAGCCCAGUCUACAACAGGAACUGAGAAGACACACAACAUGCUUGUAGCUCUGGCAGGCAGCUGCAGCAACUUAUAAGAUAACCACCUGCUUCUUGAACACAGCGAAAUACUUCACCUUUCAAGGUCAAGAGCAUGUACUCACAAGACGGUACUUCACCUGUGCCAACCCACCUAGAUAACGUA
Octopus sinensis (East Asian common octopus) is the source of this 1236-nucleotide long non-coding RNA. RefSeq lists it as uncharacterized. NCBI's taxonomy places the organism in Eukaryota, Metazoa, Mollusca, Cephalopoda, Octopoda, Octopodidae. The record is from RefSeq and is a predicted model, not a curated record. The transcript is spliced from 3 exons.